GAUGAACGCUAGCUACAGGCUUAACACAUGCAAGUCGAGGGGCAGCACAGUGUAGCAAUACAUGGGUGGCGACCGGCGCACGGGUGCGUAACGCGUAUCCAACCUUCCCGUUACUCUCGGAUAGCCUUCCGAAAGGGAGAUUAAUACGAGAUGGUGUUGAAAUUCCGCAUGUUAUUUCAACUAAAGAUUCAUCGGUAACGGAUGGGGAUGCGUGACAUUAGGUAGAUGGCGGGGUAACGGCCCAUCAUGCCCACGAUGUCUAGGGGUUCUGAGAGGAAGGUCCCCCCANACUGGAACUGAGACACGGUCCAGACUCCUACGGGAGGCAGCAGUGAGGAAUAUUGGUCAAUGGUCUGACGACUGAACCAGCCAUGCCGCGUGAAGGUCACGGCCCUAUGGGUCUUAAAACUUCUUUUGUAAGGGAGCAAUAAGGUGCACGUGUGCAUCGAUGAGAGUACCUUACGGAAUUAAGCAUCGGCUAAUUCCG
This 487-nucleotide ribosomal RNA is filed under the name uncultured bacterium. Its description in RNAcentral is "bacterial SSU rRNA". It matches the Rfam family "Bacterial small subunit ribosomal RNA", at positions 28 to 505 of the family's 1533-position model. The record is from RNAcentral.